RNAcentral lists this ribosomal RNA (484 nucleotides) under uncultured bacterium. RNAcentral's name for it is "partial 16S ribosomal RNA". It matches the Rfam family "Bacterial small subunit ribosomal RNA", at positions 29 to 507 of the family's 1533-position model. The record is from RNAcentral.
AUUGAACGCUGGCGGCAUGCUUUACACAUGCAAGUCGAACGGCAGCGCGGGCUUCGGCCUGGCGGCGAGUGGCGAACGGGUGAGUAAUGCAUCGGAACGUGCCCAGUAGUGGGGGAUAGCCCGGCGAAAGCCGGAUUAAUACCGCAUACGACCUGAGGGUGAAAGCGGGGGACCGAAAGGCCUCGCGCUAUUGGAGCGGCCGAUGUCGGAUUAGCUAGUUGGUGGGGGAAAGGCUUACCAAGGCGACGAUCCGUAGCUGGUCUGAGAGGACGACCAGCCACACUGGGACUGAGACACGGCCCAGACUCCGACGGGAGGCAGCAGUGGGGAAUUUUGGACAAUGGGGGCAACCCUGAUCCAGCCAUGCCGCGUGCGGGAAGAAGGCCUUCGGGUUGUAAACCGCUUUUGUUAGGGAAGAAAUCCUCUGGGCUAAUACCCCGGGGGGAUGACGGUACCGUAAGAAUAAGCACCGGCUAACUACGUG